AGGUGACCUGCGGAGGWCAUUA
Molecule: ribosomal RNA, 22 nt
Filed under: Capronia sp. 03001a
Lineage: Eukaryota; Fungi; Ascomycota; Eurotiomycetes; Chaetothyriales; Herpotrichiellaceae
Description: partial 18S ribosomal RNA
Source: RNAcentral